Molecule: long non-coding RNA, 11783 nt
Filed under: Setaria viridis
Lineage: Eukaryota; Viridiplantae; Streptophyta; Magnoliopsida; Poales; Poaceae
Description: long non-coding RNA (SVIR_LNC001971)
Source: RNAcentral
UCUGCUCCUUUAUAUGUUCAUGUUCUGUUGUUGCCUGUGCAUCUACUUUUAAUCCAAGCACAGUUUUUGAGAAUGAAACAUCACUCUCUGGUUUAUGUGGAAAUCAGGACUGUCCAGGUUAUGGUUGUCACCACUAAAUGGUUGGUUAGUAUUAGACGCUUUAAAUUUCCACAGAUUUACAAGCAGUCAAUGUCUUUCUUUUUAUUUCCAUGACAAGCCUAGAUAUAAUCAUGGUAUCGGCUGGACAAGCUUUUCCUUGAAGCUGCCAUGCCAUGAGUUGAACUGUUAGUUCAGGGCCCUAUUUAAACUAUGUUCCAGCAGUUUAUUACUGUUAAGCCUCACCAGCUCCCAUGAUCACACUACCCACUCUUAACACUAGAAAAACACUCACAGAUGGAGAGCACACACAUUAUGUCACGCUGCACACCAGCACCCACUUUUGCACUAUAUCACCACACUACAACACGAUGGUUACACAUAUUUUAACACCACAAACACGCACACGCUAAGCUGUGACUCAGCCGCACAACCCGGCUAAGAACACUCACACAGCUAGCUCACCAACACAGCCACACGUUGCAUGCACGGGCUCCACAUUGCAUACAGCCACACGCUGUAUACUAAUCAUGCUUCACUAUGCACGCACUCCGUGCUUCACCCACACAUUGAUCAACUUGCUUCACCCACAAACUGAUCAGCUUUACUCACCACCACUGUCCACUCACAACAUUAAUCCCACUCUCUCACUCACACACUAAACUGCUCCCCCUUCUCUCUUCUUUUCACUUGCUGCACCACCUCUCAUUUUAUAGAACAAGACAGCCCCAUGGCUUGCUAAUGAAGACUUAAGGCUUUUCCUAACAACGUAAGGCAAAGACUUGACUUGUUGAUUUGCACCUGAAGACAACUUGACUUGUACUCUAAGGCAAGACAUGACCCACACUAACAUGCAACAAGGAUUACACUAACAAUUAUAACUUGUGGUAGAGCUUUAAAUCAGAAAAUCAAUGUGGAGUGCAGCUGAUUAUGUAGUUGUGUACAGUUAGCAUCAUAUUGUACUCCCUCCGUUUCAUAAUAGUUGUCAUUCUAGUUUUGUCUUAAGUCAAGCUUUUCUAUUUUGAUUGUCAAUUUUUUAAAAAAGUGUACCGUUUAGCGUCAUAAGAUUUAUGUUUUUAGAUUCACCAUGAGAAAUCUAUUUCAUAAUAUAUAAUUCACAUAUUCUUAAACUAUACAAAUUUCUAGGAACUACUUGUCAAAGAUAGAAGUGUUUGACUUAGGACAAAGCUAGAAUGACAACAAUUUUGAAACGGAGGGAGUACAUAUGUUUAAUGCCUAGGCCGUAGGUAUCAUGUAGGGAUAGACGAUUAAGUAAUAUCCCUUUGUAGUGCAAAUCGUUGCAAACCUUACAUUCAAAUAUCUAGAACAAUGUUAUGUCUGAGAAAAUGAAAAUCAGUUUUCUGCAAAGAAGUCACUAUCUACAUGUACAUUCUACAGUAUGGCGGACAAGGAAAAUGCCAUUAGUAGCUUUCUAAUUUUAGCUAAAUUUUAUAGGAAAAUCUUUGUAGAUCGACUAUUUCUGGAUAACCAUUGUACUGGUUCUGUGUAGUCUACACCAUGCCAACUUUUUAAUGGGCACCUUUAGUGAUAGAGUGGGUUAUGAAGGUAGUACCACUAGAGGGGUUUGCAUUGAUUGUCAAUAUGCUUCCUUGGUCAAGGUAUGUUUAAGCUGUUGAAUGUAUGCAUUAGAUUGUUGUGGUCCUUUUUGCUUCUGUAAACGGUUAUUUGAUUGGUGAGCAGCCAAUCGUGAACCCAGUUCUAACUUCUAACUGCACAUAAACUAAUUGUAAUGGCUGUUCCUUUUUUUUCUUUUUGUGAAACGUAAUGGCUGCUCCUUGGUUUUGCUUUUUGCUGAAUGUGAAGGUUGAUUCUGUUUGCUGAAUAUGAAGGUUGAUUCUGAUUGCAGGAACUCGCUUAUUAGGGAGACUCUCAUCUCUCCAAGAGGGCCUAACAGGAAAAAACAGAUUUCAGCCUCCAAGUACUCUGAUUAACGCGCAAUCCUUUGCACCUUUAGUUACAAUUAACAAGGAUGCAUAGACACUCUGCAAAACCUUGGUACUGGCGACGAGAGCUGCUAUGUGUAAGAAGCCCCAUCUGUAUGUGUAAACAACAUAGAAGAAAUUGCUCUCAUGCAGCAUGAGUUACUAAUGGAGUAAUGGUUGACAGUGUAUGGAUGCGAGUUAUAUACUGAUACCUGGCAUCCGGGAGAAGCAACGAACUGAUGUGAAAUCUUGCUAUGCAUGUUUUGCUUUAAUUGAUUCUAGCAGGCUUUUUUGAAAUCUUGCUGUGCAGGAGUAAUAGAGAUGGGAACAAAGGAAAAGAUAAAACUUGUACCUCAAGUUAAAUCAUUUCUAGAAGUUAUGUGGAACAUGCUAUUCCAAUUCCUUAUAUUAGGAUUUUUUUAGUUCCAAACGAUUCAUGGGGAAUUUUACUAUAGGGUUCAAUUCAUUUGGAAUACCUGGCUCCAAUCUUCAACUACUUGAUUGAUGUUUUAAUUCUGUCAGAUGAUCAUGAUCUGGUCAACUUUGCUAGGUAUGUGCAGAUUUAGCACUUCAAUGCUUGUCCUUGUACAUCUCAGAAUUAGUCUUUUUUUCCUUUUAUCUGGAAACAGAAUUGUUGUGCCCUCUAUGCUCGGCAAACCGAAGCAAGAUGCACUCAUUUUUUGUACGCCUCUACUGGGCAUAGACGAACAGUUUGGAGCGUGUCACGUUCCCUUGGCUUCACGCUUGAGAGGCAAUCAAAUAAAAUUUAUUUGUGGGCAAGGCUGUGAAAUGCUCGAGACCAAUUUCGUAAGCACGAACCUUAUCCCUAGCCCUAAGUUAGCUCUUCGGUGUAGGAAGUAGCUUUUUAUUCCUCUACAUUUUUUUUCCUUUUGCGAAGAUCUCUUUGUAGUAUAUUUCCUUCAUUCUAAAUUUCUAUUUGACUUUUUUAGAUACAUAGCUUUUUGAUAUGUAUCUAGAUAUGCCAAAACAAAUAGUAAUUUUAGUUGGAGGCAGUAGUAUAUUAGAAGAAAUAUUUUCUAGGCGCAUUGUUCUGUACGCACUUGCGAAAUAACCUUCGAAUCACCUCAAAAAUCAUGAAAACCUUUCCUAGUGAUACAUAAAUGAAGAUGAAUCCAUUUUUCUUAAAACCACAUUUGAAUACUUGCAGUUUAAAAUUUUUAUGGUGCCAAAUUUUUUUCAUAAAACUAUGGAAAAUAACUAAUAUUCCUCACAUUGGAUGCAUUAAUUUAUUAAAUUAUUUCCUAACAUGAGUUAGGGUGUUUACAUCCGUGAACUAAAAAUUUCGGGUCACAUCGGAUAUUUGAAUACCAAUUAGAAAGACUAAAUGUGAACUAAUUAUAAAACUAAUGGCAUAAACGAGGGCUAAUUCGCGAGACGAAUCUAUUAAGCCUAAUUAAUUCAUAAUUAGCACAUGUUUACUGUAGCAUCACAUGGGCUAAUCAUGGACUAAUUAGGCUUAAUAAAUUCAUCUCGCGAAUUAGUCCUCAUUUAUAGUUCGGUCACAUCGGAUGUUUGAUUUCCUUGGGCACCCAAAUAGGUUGGUUCCACCCCUUGUCUUGCUUAUUGAUCAAGUGAGCCACCGCCUUGUCAUCUUUCUUCUUGAGGUUGGAGUUGACCUUCUUCUUUUGCUCCCCCUUCUUGUUCUUGCACUCAUAGGACUUGUGAUCUUCUUGUUGGCAUGAGUAACAAGUAAUGGUUGCACCCUUCUCAAGCUUCUUCACCAUCUUGGGACGGUUAACUUCAGAAGGUUGUUUCUUGCUCUCAUUAGCCUUCACCUUGCCCUUGAGCCUUCUCAAGUCCUUCAUGAGCCUUUCCACUUCUUGCUUGACCUCAUCAUUUUCUUGAGCAAUGAGAUCAUCACAUGUUUCUACAACAACAUUCUUGGCACAAGUCUCAUUGCAACGUGGUGAGCAAGAUUUAUCAAUUAAAUUAAUGCAUGAAGUAGAGGCAUCCUUUUUGGAUUUAUUUUGAAAGGAUGUGGAUGCCUUGUUAGAGGUAGUUUUACCUUGACCUCAAUUUUCUUAGUUAGCUCAUCAUUUUGGUCAAUGAUAUCAUCAAAUUUUCGGCCAAUUCUUUACAAUUGGAUGAUGAUCUAGCCAAUUUUUCUUUGAGUUCCUUAUUUUUAUUAAGGAGUUUUGUUAUUGCUACCUCUUGACUACAAACAAGAUCCUGUUUUACAAAUCUGACUUCACAUGAAAGAACAAAACAAUAAGCCCAAUGCUCAGAUAUUUUGGCCAAUAGUAGGGCCUUUUCUCAAAUAGGAAAGUAGAGGCUAAAAAACAUUGGUUUCUUGCAAGCUCAUGAAUGGAAGUGGAGGAGUCAUCAUCACUUACAUCGCUCUUAUUCAUACCUUUGGCAAUUAGGCAAAUGUGCGAUGAGCUUGAUGAUGAUAAGAAGGCACAUGGCUUGCGAUGGGUUUUUUUAUCACUUGAGCUUGUCAUAUCAAACCUACCUUUUGCAAUACUUGUGAAGGUCUUCUUAUUGCUUGCCUUCUUCUCCUUCUUCCUUUCGUUUCUUUCUUUCUUUCUUUGCUUGCAUCUCUUCUCCAUCAACGGACAAUACUCAAUGUAAUGUCCCUCCUCUCCAUAACCAAGAUAUUCUUUCUUCUUUUUUCUUAGGUUGCGGCGAACCAAUGGUUCCAUAGGGACACCCUUGGAGUUGAGCUUCUUGAGUAGCUUGUUCACUCCUUUUACAAGUUGCUUGAUUUCUUCAUCGUUGGAGGAGUUGCUACUACUUGCUUGAUCAUUCUCUUCAUCUUCCGCCUCAUCAUCACUUUCUUCUUCUUCUUCACUUGAACUUGAAGUUUCACUAAGCUUGAGCUUGAACUUGAUUCUUGUUCUUGAGAUUUCUUGCUUGAUGUGGAAGAUUCUUGCUUAUCUUCACUUUUCUCUUCCUUCUCCUUCUCCUUUUCUUCUUUGCUUGAUGUGCCCACAUCUUGACUUGAGGGAGAAGGGCUUUUGGUAAUCUUCAUGGAUAGCUCAUGGGCAAUGAUCUUGUUCAAGAGCUUUGUUGGCUUCAACUUGUUCAUGUCUUCGAAGCAAUGGAAAUAGGUGACGAUGGCGGUGUACUUAUCCUUGGGAAGAAUUUGGAUGGUCUUUCUUGAGAUGUCCGCGUUGGAUAGCUUGGUCAAACCUAUUGCAUUUAGCUUAUUGACAAUAACAUUUAAGCGUGAAUACAUGUCAUAGCUAAUUCAUUAGGCAACAUUUUGAAAUAAUCAAAAGUUAACAUCACUUGUGCCAUUAUGGAGCUUUACGAGCGUGGUCCAUAUUUCGUGUGCACUUCCAAGCUCAUAGACUAUUAAACACCUCAAUGCUAAGAGAUUCAAAAAUUGAAUUUCGAGCAAUAGCAUUGAGAUGCAACUCUUUUUCAUCGGCCUUAGUGGGUUUUUUCGGCCGAGCUAGGGGAUUCAUUCCAUGUUUCAUCACUCUCCAAACACCUAAGCCUUUUUCCUCUAGAAAACAUGACAUGCGAACAUGCCAAUAGGGGAAUUAGUGCCGUCAAAGUGUGGAGACCUACCGAGAUCACUCCUAACCUCUUCGUAUGUCAUUUUGCUCAAUGGCGGUGAAGCCAAGGGUUUUGGAUAUGAGCCACCAGCUCUGAUACCAAUUGAAGGGACCGUGACACCAUAAGAAGGGGGGUUGAAUUGGGUGUUCUAAAAACUAGGCUCCAAGAACAUAUGAAAACCUAUUUCAAUUUCUAUCUAGAUAUGCACUAGGUUUUUUUAUGUGUUGCUAUCUACCACAAAAGAGUUUUGCACCCUAAGUUCCAAUCUUAUAAACUACACAUAGCAAUUCUAAGAAAGGUAAACGUGGAAAUCUAAGUGCAAUAUGAAAUGUGGAAGUAAAUGAGGUAGAGAAGGCAAACUCCCAGUGUGAUGACACGACGAUUUUUAUCGAGGUAUCAGAAAGCAACGCUUUCCACUAGUCCUCGUUGUUGGAGCCCCUCUCAAAGGGAAUGCCUGCGCAAGGGUAUAAACUCCCCGAUCAACUCCGUAGGAUAGCCAACAGGCCUUCCCCACACGCAAGUGGGUCUCCGCCUAGCCUCUCCCGGAUGCUCCUUGCCGCUCUUCACUUGGUAGAGCUUCGGCAAAAUGCCUAGGGCCUCUCCUCCCUAUCACAAGCACCAGCGGUCAGUCCACAAACGCGGUAGGAGGGUCUCGCAAGACUUACAAGCCUCGAAUUUACAACUCUUGGUGCGUGCAAGCACUGAUACAAAGGAGGUGUGCAAACCUCACCUAACUCUAGGGUAAUCCCUAAAGCAAUGCACUAAUUAGCUUAAACUAGCACUAAUCAAGAUCUAAACCUUAGGCUAAUUGCCUUAAUCUUCUCUUUAGCACUUUGGUGGAUAGAGCACUUUUGUGAAUGUGGAAACCAAGCCUAUAGCUUCUCCAAGCUCUAACACUCUCCAUAUAGCCAGGCAAUGGGAUAUAUAGCCCCAACUCCAGGAACUAGCCGUUACAUAGCCGUUGUAACUUUAUGCGUAUCACCGACUCAUUCGCUGCUCUUGUCACUUUAGCCACCAUAUGAAUACGAAUCGGUGAGGCCUAAUUACACUCCAAAACUUCCAGAGCCAAUUUUGAUCCGAUCUGAGCCCAAGCCGACGAUCACCGACUGAUUCAAUGGUGGUUACUGUUACCAGAUUAUGAAUCGAUGGUAAUAGUGCAUGCGCCUACCUUGGCUCCGCCUGUGGUCACCGACUGAAUCGGUGAUGGUUACAGUAACCAGAGUAAGAAUCGGUGGUAACAAUGCACGUGCCUACCUUGGCCCUGCCUGUGGUCACUAACUGAAUCGGUGACGGUUACUGUUACUAGAGUAUGAAUUGGUGGUAAUAGUGCACGCGCCUAUCUUGGUCCUGCCUGUGGUCACCAACUGAAUCGGUGAUGGUUACUGUUACCAGAGUAUGAAUCGGUGGAAUAUGUCGAUGCAUAUUUCCAGCAGCAUUCGCUUCAAAUCUUCGUGUGUCUUUAUCCCAUCUUCAUUACCACAUUUGUAAGCCUUAGAAUAGGACUAUCUCUGGAUUUUUUUUUGCUAUCAUUUGGAUGCCAUAGAAUUCUUCUAAGUCUUUCUUUUUUAUCAUUUGAUGAUUUGGUAAUUCAUCCUUGGAACCUAUAAACACUUACAAAGGUUCAUCUUGCAAACACAUUAGUCCCAAUGACUAUGUUGUUAUUAAUCACCGAAAUCAUUAUGGCCUAGGGCCAUUUUCCUUACAUAAUCCAUUUAGGAGCAAGAUAUCCAAUAGUUCCUCGUAUUGUAGUCACAACAUGACUAGAAACUUAGCCAUACCGAAAUCUGCAAUUUUUGGAACAAAGCAAGUGUCGAGAAGUAUGUUUCAGGUUUGAUAUCACAGUGUAUUAUACAAUCUCGACAGCUAUGAUGUAAAUAUGCUAGCCCUCUAGCAACUCCAAGGGCUAUCUGGUAUCUAUUGUUCCAUUCCAAAACUGUACCAUGAUUCUGGAAUAGGUGGGCAUCGAGAGAAUGGUUUGGCAUAUAUUGGUACACAAGGAGCCUCCUAUCACCUUCACAGCAGAACCCAAUAAGUUUAACCAAAUUAAUGUGCUGGAUGAUUCCAAUCGAACUCACUUCAGCCCUGAAUUGCUUCUCUCCUUGGCGGACACCAUGCAACAUCUUCAUUGCUAUGGUUACCGAGUCACUUAGUACCCCUUGAAUACAUAACCAAAACUUCCGCUACCCAGCUUCUCGGAGAAAUUUUUUAUUGCAUGUUUCAAAUCAGUGUAUCUGAAUAUAGUGAUCCCAGUGCUGCCCAUAUCAUUGUCCACUGUGUGCCUACCCCACUUUCCUAAUCUCAUCCUCCAAAUCAAAAUUAGAAAGAUGAAACCCAAUGAUGCAAAGAUUGCACAAAUGGCAACAAUCGUGAUCAUUCCUCUUAUACUGCUUUUCCGAUUUUGCACUUCUUUUGCAGCAAGGUGAAUGUAAAGAAUUUCUCCAUUACCAUCAGCAGCUACAUUAACCAGUUCAUCAUGCCAGAUAGAGCACCCAUCUUUUCCGUAGGAAUAUGCAGUGCAAGAGCAAUUGUUCAAACAAACUCGUGCACAUACAGUCCAGCUUGAUGCAUUUGGAAUACGCUUAGAAUUAUAUGGCAACCUAAUGCUUGGUAUAGAGUAGAAUGUGUCUGUGGUACCUGUACUAUUUUUGUCACCGUGACUCCUGCAAUUCAAUGGAGUAUUUUUUGUACACCCACCUGUUCUAUCCUCAACCUUCCAAUCCUCAGGCGACCUUACAGAGAACCCCUUCAUGCAUUCACACAAUGUAUUUGCAUUGUUAGUGCAGAUUUUUUUUUGAGGAAACAGGAGGGGCAAGCCCCUACUGAAAUAUAUUAACAAAAGAAAGGUUUACAAGAAAUAAAACGAGGCGAGAAAAGACAAAAAGUGGGAGAGAGAUAAAUUACAAGGCAUUUAGCCACUCCUUCAUAGCUGGGACUAUGAGGGUUUAGCUCUAUGGAGACAAACAGUAAGCAAUUCAGAGAACAACUUUCGUCUUACUGCUUGCACGGAUGGAGGAAUAUUAUUGAAGGUCCAACCAUUUCUGACGGACCAGAUGCUCCAUGUCAUUAUGACAAUGACCUCUAUGAAGAAUGGGACAUUUAGCUUUAGUUUGAUAUGUUUGAGGAUAAGCAACGGUUUCCUGGUGGCCACAAAUGUAACUACAAUGGAGGACCAGCAAGCUCUAGCAAAGUUGCAUCUUAGGAAAAGAUGCGCCACUGUCUCCCUUAUUUGUAAAAUGCAAAGUUCACAGGUGUAGGAAUCAAGGAUCAUUGACUUCCUACCUAGAAUAUCCUUGGUGCUUAGUCUGUCUUUAAUUAGGAGCCAGAAAAAUACUUUGUGUUUCUUUUGACAUUUAGAUUUCCAUAACCAAUGGUAUAUUGGGUGAACACUUCUAUGUCCCGUCAGAGCUUUGUAGGUUCUUGCCACCGAGAAGAUGGGGCUGCCCCAGAUAUAAGUCCACUGAUCACCAUCCUGCUGGGUGUUGAUGUCUGUUAAUCUAUUCUAUAGGUCAAGAAGUUGGUGAUGAGCUUCCUCUGAGAGGAGUAAAUGGAAGAUGUGGGAUAGGGAUGGUCUGCUGAUUGCCUCUUUGUAUGUAAUCAUUUGUUUCCUUGCAAACAAGAAAAGUUGCGGGAAUUCCAGGGAUAGAACUUGUUCGUUCGAGGUGUCUAGCCAGAAUAAGACAGUGUCACCAUCCGAAACCCAUGCUGAUGCUAUUCCUUUAUAUUUGUCCAGAAGCUUAACAAUGUCUCUCCACCAAAAGGAACCUUUUUUCUGUUGUCCAGGUAGUUUCCCAUUAUGAUAAUAAUUGUCUCAGACUAGGUUUACCCAUGGGAUAUCAGUCUUAAAGAAGAAUUUAUGCACAAAUUUUAAUAGUAGUGCUUCAUUUUGGGUGUUAAGAUUGAUGACACCCAACCCUCCUUGUUGUUUGGGCAGGCAUACCAUUGGCCAGGCUGCUUUGGACAGUUUUCUGGAAGAAAGAUCAGAUCCUCACCAUAAACAAUGCUUCCUGUAUUUGUCAAGAUGGUCGAUCACUCCUUUGUGUUAUUUAAGGGUAGCCAUAUGGAACAUUGCAGUGGAUGAGAAUAUUGAGUUAACCAGUUUUAAUUUGCCCCCUUGACAUAGCAUGUUUGAAAUGCCCUCUAGCCUUCUUUUGACUUUCUUAAUCAGAGGGAAAAAUUCCUCAAUGUUUGGUUUUGUCAAUCCCAAAGCCAAGCUUAGAUAUGUGAAGGGUAGAGAGCUAGCCUGACAAUCAAAAGUUGAUGCCAGAUGUUGUAGUUUCUCUUGGGGGUAUUUAGUAGGACCAUGACAGUAGUUAACCUUGAGCCCUGUCGAAUCAGCAAAGAGAUUGAGCAGUUGCUUGAGAUGUAGUAGAUGGGCAGAGUUAGCUUCCAUAACCAGCAGGGUAUCAUCUGCGUACUGGAUCACUGGGAAGUCUUGACCAGCUCUUUGAGGAAUUGGUAGUCGGAUGUUUCCUUCAUCUUAAGCCCUGUUCAGGAUAGAUUGGAGUAGAUCUGCUGCUAGAAUAAAAAGAAGAGGGGACAGAGGGUCUCCUUGCCUAACACCUCGUCUGCAAUGGAAAACUUUUCAUGAAACCCCAUUGAGUAGGAUAGAGGAUGUUCCAGAGCUAAGGAUUGCCUGUGCAGAUUGGGAAAGGGCCACAGACAGCAUAUGAUAUUUUGGUUCGUAGCUAAACUUCACCCAAUCCUGCGAGUUCCAUAUGCGCGAUAUCCUUUGGCCAGAGACAUCUAGCAGAUCCUGCCAAUCAUAUUAAUUUAUUGUCCAACAAGGUCUACAUGUAGUAAACCUCUUGGUCGUUGUCGACAAAUGUAAAAUUACAGAUAGUAGGGCCUGAAAUCUCCGGUAUUGAGCUGAAGAAACUGAAUCUACUGUUCCACUCCUAACUAGACCAAUAUGAAGCUUGGUCAAUAGUAUUCUUCCUUGAAACAAGGAGGUGAUUCCGACCUGUGAUCUUGUUCCGGCCAAGCUUUGCACCGGAGAGAAGGGUGUCUGUCGGGUGGUCAAAGCUCUACCAAAAUAUGUCUGAAGAGUUAUAUGAGCUCCGAAGAACAAAAUUCCCAUUGUCCAAUAGUACAGCGAUGGUCUUGUUGGUUGUGAUGUUGCAUUGGGUAGACCAGAUAAUGUGGCUGUGAGUUUCCGUCUCCGGAGAUGACGAGCUUUGGCGACGUGGGUUCGGAGACCGGGUUAUCCCCAUUGGCACUCCACACUGGAGUCAGUUUGGGGACCUUGUUGAACCAUAUGCCCAGGUAAGAGUUGAGGUGUUAUUGGAGGACUUGCUGCCUGUCUGAAAGAAACCAAGUGCAAACUUGCCGUUGCCAGAGACAAGCAUCUUGUUGCUGGUGAGGGCAUGUCCGUGUGGAAGUGUGUAUGUGGCAGCCGAGCUCGAGGUAGUGUGCGUGGAGAAAUAAUGGAGUCCAAGAACAACAAGGAGGUGGAGGAAAUGCAUGUCGAGUGAAAUGCAAGAACGAAGAUGAGCAAGAGAAGUAUGCUACAAAAAUAAGAAUUGAUGCACGGGGGCGACGUUUCUCUUUUCAUGAAAACUGGAGGGAGGCCAGCACCCUCAUCAUGUCCCAUAGAUUUUUAUUUUUCCAAGAAAACGCAUGGUCAUCCAUCACUGCCAUUAUUGGGGUAGUGACCGCGAUCCUUUCCUGGAGUUAUGUUUUUGACGUGACACACCGGUGGGAGUCACACGCCAUCCAUGAUCCAUGUGCAUUAAAAGACUGCUGACACCUCACGUGAACAGCAGGGCAUCAGGCCAGACUCCAGAACAGUACGAGUGCGACACUUAAGAGUGGUGAUAUGAACAAGGUUAGAGCAGCCGCACGUAUAACCGUGAGAGUGGUGAUACGAAUGUGACAAUUGAUAUAGUUACUAAACUUCAGUAUAUAGCCACACAAUAUUAUUUAAAAAGUAGAUUCCAUGUUGAAUAAAAAAUUCAUCAAAUAACUUCUAUCUCUCCCCAUUCACUCACUGAAAUUCAUACCCUACCACCUACUAAUUUGUAGCACCUGAUGCUUUAGAACACCCUCCUCUCCAGCGUGUAGCACCCUAGGAAUCUUUUUCUCUCUUCUCAGAGCACCCUCAAAAUCUCAACACUGAAGCUACUCCUAGGGCAACUCCAAAUGGAGACUCUUGGACCCCUGCCUCAUCUAUGAGGGUAAAACGCAAAAAAAAAAACUCUUCAACUGGUCUCUCAUCUGCCC